RNAcentral lists this ribosomal RNA (570 nucleotides) under uncultured Flavobacteriia bacterium. RNAcentral describes it as "bacterial SSU rRNA". It matches the Rfam family "Bacterial small subunit ribosomal RNA", at positions 8 to 570 of the family's 1533-position model. The record is from RNAcentral. Lineage: Bacteria; Pseudomonadati; Bacteroidota; Flavobacteriia.
AGGGUUUGAUCCUGGCUCAGGAUGAACGCUAGCGGCAGGCCUAACACAUGCAAGUCGAGGGGCAGCAUAAAAAUAGCUUGCUAUUUUGGUGGCGACCGGCGCACGGGUGAGUAACGCGUAUGCAACCUACCCCGUACUGGGGGAUAGCCCGAAGAAAUUCGGAUUAACACCCCAUAGUAUUUUAGAUUGGCAUCAAUUUAGAAUUAAAGGUUACGGUACGGGAUGGGCAUGCGUCCUAUUAGCUAGAUGGUAAGGUAACGGCUUACCAUGGCUACGAUAGGUAGGGGGCCUGAGAGGGUGGUCCCCCACACUGGUACUGAGACACGGACCAGACUCCUACGGGAGGCAGCAGUGAGGAAUAUUGGUCAAUGGGCGCAAGCCUGAACCAGCCAUGCCGCGUGAAGGAUGAAGGUUCUAUGGAUUGUAAACUUCUUUUAUUUGGGAAUAAACCUAUCUACGUGUAGAUAGCUGAAGGUACCAAAUGAAUAAGCACCGGCUAACUCCGUGCCAGCAGCCGCGGUAAUACGGAGGGUGCAAGCGUUAUCCGGAAUCCUUGGGUUUAAAGGGUCC